UAAUACGAAGGGGGCUAGCGUUGCUCGGAAUCACUGGGCGUAAAGCGCACGUAGGCGGCUUUCUAAGUCAGGGGUGAAAUCCUGGAGCUCAACUCCAGAACUGCCUUUGAUACUGGAGAGCUUGAGUCCGGGAGAGGUGAGUGGAACUCCGAGUGUAGAGGUGAAAUUCGUAGAUAUUCGGAAGAACACCAGUGGCGAAGGCGGCUCACUGGCCCGGUACUGACGCUGAUGUGCGAAAGCGUGGGGAGCAAACAGGAUUAGAUACCCUGGUAGUCCACGCCGUAAACGAUGGAUGCUAGCCGUUGGCGGGUUUACCCGUCAGUGGCGCAGCUAACGCAUUAAGCAUCCCGCCUGGGGAGUACGGUCGCAAGAUUA
RNAcentral lists this ribosomal RNA (375 nucleotides) under uncultured bacterium. RNAcentral's name for it is "bacterial SSU rRNA". It matches the Rfam family "Bacterial small subunit ribosomal RNA", at positions 521 to 896 of the family's 1533-position model. The record is from RNAcentral.